AAAAAAAAAAAAAAAAAAUCCAAUCCUAAUAUCUACUUAUCUCUACAGUGAGGAUUGGAGGAUGUACUUAGCUCACAGGCAUACAAAAACCAACAUUUCACAUAUAAAAAUCCAUCAAACCUAUUCUAUUUUUCCUAUCUCAGGAAAUGAUACCAACAGCCACCCAGCUGCCCACACUAGAAACUGAAGAGUCCUGCUACAUACCCUUUUCUCUCUUCUCCCUAUAUACAAAGCCUCCUAAACCUCUUUAAUCUUACUUUCCAACUUUCUCCAUCCUUGCUUACUCUGCUUUAGCCAUAUAGGCAUUGAAUUUUCUGGUCCUUUCUGCGUAGGACAUUAACAUAUGCUCUUCCCUUUCUUUUUGGCCUAGCUAAUUCCUAAGUCUCGGUUUAACUGUCCCUCCUUACAAAGGCUUUACUUCAGUCUCAGUGUUAGGUCCCUACAGUGUAUGCUUUCACAGCAUCCUAUAUUUUUCUGCUAUAUUACUUAUCACAGUUGUCAUCUGUAUGAUUAUUACACUUAGUCUGUGUUUCUCACACUAGACUACUCCAUCAGGGUAGGAACUGUGGCUCUUUUGUUCACCCCUAUAUGCUCAGUAUCUUGAACAAUACAUGACACACAGUAGGGGCUAAAUACUUAUCUGGUAAUAGUUACAUACUAAUACUUAAUAAAUAAAUACAAUCUCUUUUUAUACUUCAUUUCACCAUCAUUUUAAUUCUUUGGUUCAAGUACUUUUUAUUUCUUGCCUAGAUACUACAAUAGCUUCUGCAGGCAUUUCUGUCACCAGUCUCAUACUUUCUAAUCUGUUCUCCAAUACCCUUGUUAAAGUGAAUUUCUAAAAUAUAAACCUGAUUAUAUUACUCAUUGGUUUAAGAUUUUUCAAUUGCAUCAAUAUAAAAGUGACAUGCAAGGCCUUUCAUGGUUUAACUUCUAUCCACCUGAUCAGGCUAGCCUUUCCCAAUUCCUCUAAAGGCACCUAGGCAACAAAUAACACAAACUACCUGAAUAUUCUCCACCAUGCCAGGUUCUUUCUGCCUUCUCUGUUUUCUUAUACUCCAGUGAUUCUGCUUUUAAGUGUUUUCUAUGGCCUAGUUCUAAUCUCUUUUUCACAAUGAGAUAACUCCUUUUAAGUCUUUACCAAGGUAUCCUUCAAGACACAGCUCAACUAUCAUCUCCUCCUAAAAAGCUUUCCUCGAGAUCCCACUAUGGCGCAAGGGGAUCAGUGGUGUCUCUGCAGCACCAAGACACAGGUUCCAUCCCCAGCCUGGCAGAGUGGGUUAAAGGACCCAAGGAUCCUGUGCUGCUGCAGCUGCAGCAAAGGUCACAACUGUGAGUUCCCUGAUGGCUCAGCAGGUUAAGGAUCUGGAGUUUUUCACUGCUGUAGCUUGAAUCACCACUUUGGUGCAAUUCUAUCCCUGGCCUGAGAAUUUCCACAUGUCUUGGGCAUGGCCAAAAAAAAAGAAUUUAUCUUUCUUCCAUUAGACUUUCACCCCCUUGCUAAUGGGGACUACAUAUGUCUUAUCUCUAUAUAUUCAAUUCUUGUAUAGACUUAAGUAAAUAUUUGAUUAAUCUGUGUGCUAGUACAUAUCAAACCACCAAAACAUACCUACCUUUUUGGGAACUAGUAUUCCUACUUCUGAGAAAUCAUCUAAUAAAUAAACAAAUAAGAAAGUCAAUUAGGAAAGUAUAAAAAUGUUCACUUCUGAAUUACUUAUAAUAACAAAAAAUUAGAGACAACUUAAGUGUCCAGCAAUACAAGAAUGGUAGAAUCUGCUAAAUGAUAUGUAGCAGAGAAAUUUAGAAUGAGAUUGUAAAAAUGAUAUAGUAACUCAGAUGCUUCUUACAUGUUAAGUGGAAAAAAUUUCAGACUAUGAGCCUAUAAAAUUAUAUGUAUAGACAUUUACUAAAAGGGAACAUGAAAACUCUCUGAGUUGUUAGAUUGGAUUGUGAUUUCACUGACUUUAUUCAGAACUUUAUAAAUACUACUAUGACAUCUUCUCAAUUAUAAUCAUAAUAAAAAUACCAUAACUUAAAAUGAAACCCGUUAUUAACAUAUAUGUAUAUAUCAGUAUAUGCAUAUUCGUAUGUGCAUAUAUAUGUACCUAUUUCCUAGCUCUGUCUUCUGAAAGGUCCAAGAAGCAGAAGCACCUCAGCAGCAAUGAGCUGCUAGCCUUCAUCUCCAAUCCAUUUUCCACUAAGAGAAAACAGGGCUCUUUAGAGAAAGGCUAAUUCCAGGGCUAGGGUAGGGUAAGGACAAGCUAAACUUGGGACAUCUUACUAUACCAAAAAGCAAGGAAGUACUCCCUCAGAAUAAUAUAGGCAUACUACAAAGAUAUAGGACCCACCAGGGGACAAUUCAAACACCAAAAUAAUUAAGUACAGACAAAUAUUUAGAGGUUAAAAGUCAUGAUGUGUGUAGCCUACCAUCAAAUGGUUCAGAAAAAAAGUAUAAUAUACACAUAUAAAUAGAAGGAACACAAGAAAACAAAGUAAAUAUAGAAAUGGGGAAACAGGAAUUCGUAAGUUAAUGGAGAUAAUAAGUAGAUAAAUAUAGGAGAAGAAAGGGCUCUUUGCAGUAGAAUGCUGUGGGCUGACCAGUAAAUGUGAAAGGAGUGUUAGAUUUGUUGAAUCAUUUUGCAACCAUCAUGGUAAAAUUACCUCAGCAAUAAUGGAUGCCAAAUUUAAAUAGGAACUUUGAUGAAGAGCAGGAUAUAUCUUCAAAUGUUUCCUCCCAAAUUGCUUAUUUGCCAGGAAGGAAAAAAAGCCAGUUGGGAAAUAUGGUCAUAUAUGGACCAGAUGAUCAAAAUUAACAUCAUCAACAAGGGACAUACAGAUAUCACGUGCUUCCAGAAGUGGUAUCUUGAGAAGGACACAAAUCACCUGUCCAGCAGUCCAGUUAAGAAUUAAAACCUUAAUUUAAUCAUGAGGACACAUCAGACAAAAACAAAAUAGGGAAUGUUCUAUCAAAAAGUAGGGUGGAGGGAGUUUGCAGGUGGCUCAGUGGAUUAAGGAUAUGGUAUUGUCACUGCUGUGGCACAGGUUCCAUACCUGGCGAGGGAACUUCCAUGCCAUGGGCAUGGCCAAAAAAAAGGUGGUGGAGGGAUAAACUAUAUUCUUCAAGAAUGUAAAAGAAGCUAAAGUCAAGACCCACUAAACGUAGGGCCUGACUCCAGAUGGCCCCUGUACUGCAGGGGAAAUGCUACAACAAUGACCAACCUACAAAAUGGGAAUAUUGAUGGUAGAUUCAAGUGUUAUUUCAAUGUAAAAUUAUGAAGCUGAUAGGAAAUACACACUGAAGUAUUUAGGGGUGAAGGGCCAGGAUGUAUUUAAUUUAACCUCAAGUGGUUUAAGAAAAAAAUUGCAUAUAAAGAAAUAUGUAUGGAGAGAGACAGAGACAUUGCACAAGAGCAACUAAAUGAUACAGGUAUUCUCUGAACUUUUUAUUUUUGCAACUUUUUGUAAAUUUGAAAUUAUGUCCAAGUAAAAGUGUUUUUUAAAAUUAAGUCCACCUCAGAAAAACAAGACCAGUAGGAAAAUAAAAGCUACUUUAGGAGUUCCCUUUGUGGCACAGUAACAAACCUGACUAGUAUCCGUGAGAAUGUUGGUUUGAUCCCUGGCCUCGCUCAGUGGGUCAAGGAUCCAGCAUUGUCAUGAGCUGUGGUAUAGGUCACAGACU
This 3676-nucleotide long non-coding RNA is filed under the name Sus scrofa (pig). RNAcentral describes it as "lncRNA (ENSSSCG00000041698.1)". The record is from RNAcentral. Lineage: Eukaryota; Metazoa; Chordata; Mammalia; Artiodactyla; Suidae.